GCUUACGGCCACACCGGCCUGGUUCACGCCCGAUCUCGUUUGAUCUCGGGGAAGCUAAGAUAGGUUGGGCCCUGGUUAGUACCCCGAUGGGAGACCGCCUGGGAUCACCAGGUGCUGUAAACU
Molecule: ribosomal RNA, 123 nt
Filed under: Scophthalmus maximus (turbot)
Lineage: Eukaryota; Metazoa; Chordata; Actinopteri; Pleuronectiformes; Scophthalmidae
Source: RNAcentral